AGUCUGGAGUGAAAGGCGACGGCUCAACCGUCGACGCGCUUCGGAAACUGGGGGACUUGAGGGCAGGAGAGGCGAGCGGAAUUCCCGGUGUAGCGGUGAAAUGCGUAGAGAUCGGGAAGAACACCAGUGGCGAAGGCGGCUCGCUGGACUGGCCCUGACGCUGACGCGCGAAAGCGUGGGGAGCGAACGGGAUUAGAUACCCCGGUAGUCCACGCCGUAAACGAUGGGCACUAGGUGUGGGAGGUAUCGACCCCUCCCGUGCCGGAGUUAACACACUAAGUGCCCCGCCUGGGGAGUACGGCCGCAAGGUUGAAACUCAAAGGAAUUGACGGGGGCCCGCACAAGCAGUGGAGCAUGUGGUUUAAUUCGACGCAACGCGAAGAACCUUACCCGGGCUUGACAUCCCCGGAACACCCGAGAGAUCGGGUGGCUCUACGGAGCCGGGAGACAGGUGCUGCAUGGUUGUCGUCAGCUCGUGUCGUGAGAUGUUGGGUUAAGUCCCGCAACGAGCGCAACCCUUGUCCCGUGUUACCAGCGUAAAGGCGGGGACUCACGGGAGACUGCCGGUGACAAACCGGAGGAAGGUGGGGAUGACGUCAAAUCAUCAUGGCCCUUAUGUCCGGGGCUACACACGUGCUACAAUGGCCGGCACAGCGGGAUGCGAAGGGGCGACCCGGAGCGAAUCCCUGAAAGCCGGUCCCAGUUCGGAUCGCAGGCUGAAACCCGCCUGCGUGAAGCCGGAAUUGCUAGUAA
This 753-nucleotide ribosomal RNA is filed under the name uncultured Bacillota bacterium. RNAcentral's name for it is "bacterial SSU rRNA". It matches the Rfam family "Bacterial small subunit ribosomal RNA", at positions 586 to 1341 of the family's 1533-position model. Lineage: Bacteria; Bacillati; Bacillota. The record is from RNAcentral.